This 328-nucleotide unclassified non-coding RNA is filed under the name soil metagenome. RNAcentral's name for it is "partial contains 5.8S ribosomal RNA, internal transcribed spacer 2, and large subunit ribosomal RNA". The stretch from base 1 to 119 matches the Rfam family "5.8S ribosomal RNA", at positions 35 to 154 of the family's 154-position model. The record is from RNAcentral.
GAUGAAGAACGUAGCGAAAUGCGAUAAGUAAUGUGAAUUGCAGAAUUCAGUGAAUCAUCGAAUCUUUGAACGCACAUUGCGCCCUCUGGUAUUCCGGGGGCAUGCCUGUUCGAGCGUCAUUAUAACCACUCAAGCUCUCGCUUGGUAUUGGGGUUCGCGGUUUCGCGGCCCCUAAAAUCAGUGGCGGUGCCUGUCGGCUCUACGCGUAGUAAUACUUCUCGCGAUUGAGUUCGAUAGGUCUACUUGCCAGUAACCCCCAAUUUUUACAGGUUGACCUCGGAUCAGGUAGGGAUACCCGCUGAACUUAAGCAUAUCAAUAAGCGGAGGA